This 85-nucleotide transfer RNA is filed under the name Clostridia bacterium. Its description in RNAcentral is "tRNA-Tyr". It matches the Rfam family "tRNA". From Rfam's summary of the family: Transfer RNA (tRNA) molecules are approximately 80 nucleotides in length. Their secondary structure includes four short double-helical elements and three loops (D, anti-codon, and T loops). Further hydrogen bonds mediate the characteristic L-shaped molecular structure. tRNAs have two regions of fundamental functional importance: the anti-codon, which is responsible for specific mRNA codon recognition, and the 3' end, to which the tRNAs corresponding amino acid is attached (by aminoacyl-tRNA synthetases). tRNAs cope with the degeneracy of the genetic code in two manners: having more than one tRNA (with a specific anti-codon) for a particular amino acid; and 'wobble' base-pairing, i.e. permitting non-standard base-pairing at the 3rd anti-codon position. Lineage: Bacteria; Bacillati; Bacillota; Clostridia. The record is from RNAcentral. RNAcentral also lists the same sequence under 1 other name.
GGGAGAGUUCCCGAGUGGCCAAAGGGGACAGACUGUAAAUCUGCUGGCAACGCCUUCGGUGGUUCGAAUCCACCCUCUCCCACCA